Molecule: ribosomal RNA, 301 nt
Filed under: uncultured bacterium
Lineage: Bacteria
Description: partial 16S ribosomal RNA
Rfam family: Bacterial small subunit ribosomal RNA
Source: RNAcentral
CAGCCGCCGCGGUAAUACGUAGGUGGCGAGCGUUGUCCGGAAUUAUUGGGCGUAAAGCGAGCGCAGGCGGUUAGAUAAGUCUGAAGUUAAAGGCUGUGGCUUAACCAUAGUACGCUUUGGAAACUGUUUAACUUGAGUGCAAGAGGGGAGAGUGGAAUUCCAUGUGUAGCGGUGAAAUGCGUAGAUAUAUGGAGGAACACCGGUGGCGAAAGCGGCUCUCUGGCUUGUAACUGACGCUGAGGCUCGAAAGCGUGGGGAGCAAACAGGAUUAGAUACCCCAGUAGUCCCUGUCUCUUAUACA